AAAAUUUUAGUUUAUAGAAAAUAAUUUAUUUACAAUAAAUGGAAUAAUUAAUAUGAAUUAAUUAAAAUUUUA
RNAcentral lists this transfer RNA (72 nucleotides) under Vespa ducalis. RNAcentral's name for it is "tRNA-Val". Lineage: Eukaryota; Metazoa; Arthropoda; Insecta; Hymenoptera; Vespidae. The record is from RNAcentral.